Molecule: long non-coding RNA, 588 nt
Organism: Nerophis ophidion (straightnose pipefish)
Lineage: Eukaryota; Metazoa; Chordata; Actinopteri; Syngnathiformes; Syngnathidae
Exons: 4
Source: RefSeq, a predicted model, not a curated record
AAGAAGACCCGGAAAACGCAAUUUUAAAAAUUUGCAGUUCAAAAUACGCGCCCCUUUAUUUAACUUAAAUAUUUUUUUUAUACAAGGUGUUGACAAAUAACUAGCUCUUUGUUUUCCUUUGGUUUUAAAGGCUUAAAGAUCUUUAUUGUGAAAAUGCACAAGAAUUGUCAAGAAAAGAAAACGACAUAUUUUGGGAUUGAUACCUUGAUUUCUUGCAGCUACAUACUAACAAGAUACAUGGACAAGAAGAAGCAAUCUGACGCGUUGGUGACGCAUUGUGGAUGCGCGUUGUCACCCCAGGGAUGCACGAGGUCAAGACAGGCAGGAGUUGCAGUGCUCGGAUGGCGUCUACAAGGAGACACGUGGCACCUUGUGAUCGGACAUCCUUGUUGUAUUACGAAGCGCCGCCCCACAAGACGUCACAGCCAGAUUGGAUUCCCGGUGAAUGCUACGCCCCAAGGUAAUGUUUUCCUUGCCAUCUCCAUUGCAUUUGGCCGGCGUUAUCAGCGGCACGCAGGCCGUGUGAUGCUAUCAUGGCGUGAGCGUGAACUGCUGCGUUAAGCUUUAAUGAGGAAUAGAUUGGGAUGU